This 406-nucleotide ribosomal RNA is filed under the name uncultured bacterium. RNAcentral describes it as "partial 16S ribosomal RNA". It matches the Rfam family "Bacterial small subunit ribosomal RNA", at positions 30 to 526 of the family's 1533-position model. The record is from RNAcentral.
AUUGAACGCUGGCGGCAGGCCUAACACAUGCAAGUCGAACGAGUGGCGGACGGGUGAGUAAUGUCUGGGAAACUGCCUGAUGGAGGGGGAUAACUACUGGAAACGGUAGCUAAUACCGCAUACCAUCAGAUGUGCCCAGAUGGGAUUAGCUUGUGGGUGGGGUAACGGCUCACCAAGGCGACGAUCCCUAGCUGGUCUGAGAGGAGGACCGGCAACACUGGACCUGGGACACGGUCCAGAUUCCUACGGAGGGCGGCGGUGGGGAAUAUUGGACAAUGGGCGAAAGCCUAAUGCAGCCAGGCCGGGUGUAUGAAGAGGGCCUUCGGGUUUUAAAGUACUUUCAGCGGGAAGGCGUUACCCGCAGAGGAAGCACCGGCUAACUCCGUGCCAGCAGCCGCGGUAAUAC